GCUAAGUGGCGCACGGGUGAGUAAUGUAUAGGUAAUAUGCCUCUUACUAAGGGAUAACAAUUGGAAACGAUUGCUAAUACCUUAUAUUCCUUUUUAUCAAAAGAUAAAAAGGGAAAGAUUUAUUGGUAAGAGAUUAGCCUGUAUUGUAUCAGUUAGUUGGUGGGGUAAUGGCCUACCAAGACAAUGACGCAUAACUGGUUUGAGAGGAUGAUCAGUCACACUGGAACUGAGACACGGUCCAG
This 242-nucleotide ribosomal RNA is filed under the name uncultured bacterium. RNAcentral describes it as "partial 16S ribosomal RNA". It matches the Rfam family "Bacterial small subunit ribosomal RNA", at positions 90 to 334 of the family's 1533-position model. The record is from RNAcentral.